This is a long non-coding RNA of Caretta caretta (loggerhead turtle), 1182 nucleotides long. RefSeq lists it as uncharacterized. The record is from RefSeq and is a predicted model, not a curated record. Lineage: Eukaryota; Metazoa; Chordata; Testudines; Cheloniidae.
AAGGAUGAGAAGAAUCAGAGGGAACUUGAAUAGGCAGAUAUGUUUCCAGUCCAAGAGAAAUGUGUCUGGCUGAGACCCUGAGCUCUUCCCACCUCUGGGGCAGGACUGGUUGCAGUUGGUACCAUGUUCUGCAGCAAAAAGGGGACAAAUAAGCCAGUGCUGAUAUUGCUUACUAGUGGCACUGACUGAUCCUGGGAUCCAAUCCAAGAUGUUGCCUUUGAUUAAUCAGUCAUCUGAGGAGGAGAGAAACAUCUUCCAUCUUGUGUAGAAAUGCAGGUGCACUGAGGACCUGUAGCUCCACUUGAAGUCAACAGGUGAGGAAUAUUAAUUGAGACAAAGGUAGAAUGUUAACUGAGACGGAAAGGUGGCAGUAUCUGCAGAGGAAAAGAUAUGGGCCCUGAUCCUGCAGGCUGCGACCUGCAGGUUGACCCCUAUGCCCAUGGAGAGCCUCAGUGAGGUCAACAGUACUCUAGAUGGGCAUAGGAUUCUGCCUGCAAGGAAAAGCUCACAGAAUCAAGGCCUGCAUGAGGCUAUGACUGUUACCAAGAUGUCAGAAAGCACAGUGAAAGAAGGAAGAGAUAAGCUCUCUGUACUAUUGAAGCCCUGUUCUUAGUAUUAAUUUAUACAGCCACUAGUUAAGUAGCUGAGCUGAAAAUGCAUUUUUUAAACCAAAGCUUGUCCUUUAUUGGCAGCCUCCCAAGUCUAAAAGCCUGAUCCAAAACUCAGUGAAAUGGAAAGACUCCCACUGACUUCAGUGGGCUUUGGAUCAGGCCUUACAUGAGCAUGGAGAAUAACAUUCCAUGGCAGAGCCAGGGUCUAUGCAGCUGGAGAGAAAUGUCACGGAUGACCUAGACUGGGCUACAAAAAAUAUCUCUAGUGUUUCACAUUGUUAUUGUGCAACCAAAACAGCACACCCAGGGAAUCAGUCUUUGGCCACAUUCCCUUCAUGCAGCUUAAAACCUUUAAAUAAAACUAAAUAAGGAUCAGCUAUAAAUACAAAAUAAUAUAAACAGAGCAGAUUCUCUCUCUAGAGCUCUGUAUCCUGGCUUCUAGAGAGCAAACUAGAAAGAAACCCCUGAAAGAAACCCAGAUUCUUUAAGGUUCUGAGACUAACCUGGCUCAGCUGCACCUUACUGCCUCAGCUCAGAGAGGCACUUAAUAGAUGGGACUGUAAAAAUACCU